UGUCAUUCAAGGGCCGGCGGUGGCUUCCGAUUGGACCAGCCUGGCGCUUAUUUGAAUAAAAGGAGGGCGGGGCGACAGAGGAGGAGGCGGGGAAAAGGUUACAUAAAAUGAAAGGCAGGCAAAGCCGCCCAGGGGAAGCGAGAAACGUUCCUUUUUUCAGCCGGCGGAUGUGGGAAAGUAACUUUUCCGGACCACAGCGGCCAGCAUCCCGGCAGGGAGGGUUGUGAAUACACGCGGAUUUCUCUCUAACUGGGGACCCCUUGAAUCCAUGGGGUUUACAUAAUUACCCACUGCCUUGAGUUGCAAAGGCAUGGAGAUCCGCCGAUAAAUCGGGAAACGUUGCUUUUCAGAAGGGAAAGGGUCGUCCAAAAAGUCCAUCAAGGUUUUUGAGAAAUCUACCUGGACACCCACAGAAUAUGGGCAGAGGCUUGCAGGAGGAGAAGAGGAGCUGAUGUGAGACCGACUGACUCAAUAAAGGAAGCCGCGGCGCCCGGAGUUUCCAAAACCUGGGAGUCCGGAGGGCUCUAGGGUCGCCCUAAAUUGCCUGAGGACAACACCCAAAGCCGGGCAGCAGCCUUGACGUCAAAGCAGAGGGACUGGCCUCUGGUCUUGGGAAGCAGUGCCCCCCUGAAAGGAACGAAGCUCCAUCUGAGGUCCCCCUCGGGUUCGCUGGAAGCAAUCACCAGUGAAGCGCUUGCCUUUGGAAGCUUAAGGCCAGAUCCUCUCUCGUGCGCGAUCCGGGCUGCACUGCAGAAGUACAGAGACUCACAGAGGAGACUAGCAACAAGUUCCCCAGAUUGUCCACCCCUUUCUCAUUAACUUCAGGCCUCACAAGGAAAUGGGAGGCUGUCGUAAUUUGGGUUGACCAUGAGGAGACCAAACCUGCCAUAAUGCUUAGAAGGCAGUAGGAAAAGACGAAGGCCACCCGUGAGAUGGAUUCGCUCAAUAAAGGAAACCACAGGU
This is a non-coding RNA of Pogona vitticeps (central bearded dragon), 963 nucleotides long. The record is from RefSeq and is a predicted model, not a curated record. Lineage: Eukaryota; Metazoa; Chordata; Lepidosauria; Squamata; Agamidae.